UGAUACAUGUUAAGGGCAUAUGUGGACGGC
RNAcentral lists this non-coding RNA (30 nucleotides) under Mus musculus (house mouse). Lineage: Eukaryota; Metazoa; Chordata; Mammalia; Rodentia; Muridae. The record is from RNAcentral.